AACCAGCACCUCAAGUGGUCAGGAGGAUUAUUGGGCCUAAAGCAUCCGUAGCCUGCUCUGUAAGUUUUCGGUUAAAUCCAUGUGCUCAACGCAUGGGCUGCCGAAAAUACUGCAUAGCUAGGGAGUGGGAGAGGUAGACGGUACUCGGUAGGAAGGGGUAAAAUCCUUUGAUCUAUCGAUGACCACCUGUGGCGAAGGCGGUCUACCAGAACACGUUCGACGGUGAGGGAUGAAAGCUGGGGGAGCAAACCGG
Molecule: ribosomal RNA, 253 nt
Filed under: uncultured archaeon
Lineage: Archaea
Description: partial 16S ribosomal RNA
Rfam family: Archaeal small subunit ribosomal RNA
Source: RNAcentral